Molecule: long non-coding RNA, 4305 nt
Filed under: Homo sapiens (human)
Lineage: Eukaryota; Metazoa; Chordata; Mammalia; Primates; Hominidae
Description: non-protein coding lnc-UBASH3A-8:4
Source: RNAcentral
CUUCCUCCUGCCCUGAUCUUGUAAGAGGUGCCUGCUUCCCUGUCGCCUUGCGCCAUGAUUGGUUCCAACAUGAGGGCCCUUGAACUCUCCUAUGGCGAGAGGCCAUCUGUUUCCUGCUGGGAUCCUGACUGAGAGGAUGGUGCCUUCACAGACCUCACAUUUCAGUGAGGGGGAGGGUCAGCACAAAGACUGACCCUUUGGGGAUCUGGGACUCAUGACUCAACCGGUCUUGUGGCCCCACCCAGAUGCAGACUCAGUACAUGUGGACCAUUUUCUGCACCCCUGUGAUUUCAUGCCUAACCAAUAAGCAGCACCCAUUCCCUAGCCUCCUGCCCACCAAACUGUCCAUAAAAACCCUAGUGUCCAAGGCUUUGGGGAGAAUGAUUUGAGUAGUAACUCCAGUUCUUCUGCGUGGGCCAGCCUCGUGUCAGUGACACCUCUUCUCUACUGCAAUGCCGUGGCCUCGGUAAAUUGAUUUUGUCUGUGCAGUGGACAGGAAGAGCCCAUCGGACGAUUACACUGGCCGGGGGCCUGCUCUGAGGAUGCUGACGCCAAGGAGACUCAAGAGAGCUGGCAAAGGCCGGGAACAGCCCAAGGUGGUAAAGAUACCUGAAAUAAGAAUCACGCACAUCUUGAGAUCAAGAUGAAUAUCUUAAUAUUUCAGCUUAUGAUAAAGACAUUUGGUGAUCGAAACUUUUCUCUACCCAGAGUCAGUCACAUGCUGCAGUCAGUCUCCAUAUCUGGUCAGCUCCUGCCAGAGCCAACCCUUCUGCAGACAGCAGCUGUCCACGCUGGAGAAAUUACAAAAAAUAACUGCCUGAUGCCAGCGGAGAGUGAAUAAGAUGAAACCAAUUCUGGAAGGGCGUUGACACUUGGAAGAAAGGAGGGCAGCAGGGAGCUUCUGUCAUGAAGGCUGUGGUGGUGGCGGUCGUAGCCAUGACAAAUGACCAAAGGAAAACAGAAAACCGCAGGCUUUCUGGUCUGCAGAGCCAGCAGACUAAGCUCAUGGCAGCCGCAGCUGAUAAAAAGCAAGUGAGCACCCAGGACAGAAAAGGCCACAAGGAGGAGCCUCAAAUCCUGUGGGUAAACUCUGCCCAAAUUAGAUCAUCAGAGCUUCAGCCUUUGGUGACAGAAGCCCUCAUCUGCACGUCUUCCCAGCAAAAUGGAAAGCGAGCAUUCCCCAUACAAAAACCAAGUGCACUAGACUUCCAGCCACUGGGCUGAGCUCUUCCCCCAACUCCGACUCUCCACCGCUCCCAGCUGUCCUAAUUGAAACUCAGAGUGGAAUACCAAGGUCUUUUUAAAACAAACAAACAAUAUUCAAACUUCUCAUCAAGGACGCAGUUGAGAAAACAGCAACAGUUUGUUGUUGAGCCACAAAUUAAGCAAAACCUUGCUUCUGACAAAGGACAGAAAAUGUAGAGGAUUUCUACAAUCCAAAGAACAAAACAGCCCAAUACAAACUUGAAACAUAUUUGAACAGGCAUUUCCCAAAGGAAGAUAUACAAAUAUUCAAUAAGUACAUGAAUGAAUGCCCAGUGUCAUUAAUAUUAGCUAAAAAGGACAUGAUGGGGGCAACUGGUACAAUGUGAAUAUGCACUAUGGAUUACAAAAAUUAUAUCAAUGUGAAAUUUCUUAAUUUGAUAAUUAUACUCUAUAUAAUAUCUUGUUUUUACAAAAUAGAUACUGAAAUAGGCCUAUCAUACUCAAAAGGUUGUGAAGAAAUGGUGUAUGUCUACCGUGUAUUUAUACCUUCUCUACAUGCUAUUCUCCCUCUGUCUCUCUCUCUCUCUCUCAGCAAGAUGAUAAAGCAAAUGGGGCAAAACGCAAAUAAUUGCUGAGUCUAGUUAAGGAGUAUAGAGGAGUUUCAUUCUCUAUUCUUGCAAGUUUUCUUUAAGUUUAAAAUUAUACAAAAAUAAAUUACAAAACAUCAAAAACACUAAAAAGUACUGAAGUUUUCAAGGACCAAUGGGGUCUUGUCAACCGGACAAAACAGUGGCAUGAAGAAGCUACCACUGGCCAAAGUUGUGUCUGUCUCUGCAUCAUAAAGAAAAGUGAUUGGAGUGGAUUGAAAUGCAUUGACUCAGUGACAUCCACAAGCCCAUGGUGACUAUGCAAAAAAGAUCCAGAACAAAGGGACUUGUCACCUUUGAAGCAUCUGCUAAACUAACACCUCGCUUAUAAAAUUGGUCAUACAAGGGAAAGAAUGAAAGGUUUUAUUCUGUUUUUCUAGGAGGAGCUGCAUUUCAUGGGAACCAAAUAAAUCCAUGAUUUACAGCCUAAUAAAUUCAGAAGGAACAGUGGAGUUGGAAAAACACCAUCUCGCAAACCAUACUUGUAGUGGGCUGAAUCAUGACCGCAAAGAUAUCAGGCCCUAAUCGUUAUCUGGGGUUAACUAACAGUGGAUCAACCAGAUAGGCUAUGCCUUAGGCUGUAAUGAAGGAGGAAGUCUGUAACACCACAAAUGUGAAUUCCAGCUAAGAACAUUACCGUGAAUCCACCAAACCUUUAGCUCCAGCUUCUUUGGCAGUAAGAAGUGCCCAGAGCUUAAAGAACAAGAGAGCCCAGACAAGCCCAGAAGAUGAGAUAUUCUGCCAGGCAGCCCGCCCAGUCCCUUCAAAGCCAGCAACAUGAAAGGGACUGCACUGAAUGAAAAGAAUGGGGUGCAGGGAUUUCCAUGAAGCUGACAGCCUCCAGCUUCAGACUCUGCACAGGCACAGGCCCCUUGCAAGGUCCAGACAGGGUGUCCACCUGGCCCUGUGUUUCAUCUAUUUUGCAUUAGUGAAGGAUUUUAACCAUAAUCGUGCCUCUGCCACUUUCCCCUCUAAUUUCAAUCAGACAUGUGUCCCCUCAGGUGGAAGGGCAUUGAAGUGGCCACAGGCACUUUUAGAAUCUGUUUCAGGGGCACUAAUUGAAUUGAAUCAAGGGUGGAUGUGGUGGUUUGGGUUCCAGAGAGUAUUUGUGUAUGCCACUGGUUUGCAGUAAUUUUCAUAUGUAGUACAGUUUCUGCCACCUGUCCUGGAGUAGUAUCACUUCCAGAAAUACUUCUAACACUCAUUUUGCUACUUACCUAGAAUUGAGACACGUAAGUGCAGGGUCAAACUUCAAAUCCCAGUAUGAACCUGUCCUCCAGCUCCAGCACCAUUGCGUGUGGGAGUGCAGAAGAAAUUAGGUUCAAAGUGCACUGAGUCAGAAGCUGGGCUAUGGAGAUCAUUUCAAUCAUCAGAAGUGGAAAACUGUAAGAGUGCGCUGAUGCCUGCUUCUAACCAGAAUAUCUCCUGUCAGGGGCGUAAUGAUAUAUCAUAUAUAUUUUUUUCUUUUUUUGAGACUGGGUCUCAACUCUAUUGCCCAGGCUGGAGUGCAGUGGUGCGAUCACAGCUCACUACAGCCUCAACCUCCUGGGCUCAAGUGAUCAUCCUGCCUCAGCCUCCUGAGUAGCCAGAAUACCAGGCUAAUCUUUGUAUUUUUUGUAGAGAUGGGGUCUUGCUAUGUUGCCCAGCUGGUCUUGAACUCCUGGUGCUCAAGUAAUCCUCCACUCAGCCUUCCAAAGUGCUAGGAUUACAGAAGUAAACCACCAUGACCAGCCCAUCAUAUAUAAUUUUUUUUUUUUUUUGAGAUUGAGUCUCGCUCUGUCACCCAGGCUAGAGUGCAGUGGCACGAUCUCAGCUCACUGCAACCUCCGCCUCCCAGAUUCAAGCGAUUCUCCUGCCUCAGCCUCCCGAGUACCUGGGAUUAUAGGCGCAUGCCGCAACUCCUGGCUAAUUUUUGUACUUUUAGUAGAGACAGGGUUUCACCAUGUUGGCCAGGCUGGUCUGGAACUCCUGACCUCAAGUGAUCCAUCCACCUCGGCCUCCCAAAGUGGUGGGAUUACAGAAGUAAGCCACAGUGCCCUGCCCCUGUCAUAUCUAAUUUUGGAUAAGAAUCCAUGCAAUUGGAUUCAUCAGCACACCUGUUUGUCAUUUGCAAUCCUGUAGCAGUUUCGUGCACGGUGUUAUGUUUGUAUGUGAAGAUGAAUGUUUUAUGCCCCUCAAUUAUCAGUAAUGAACAAACCACACUAAAGAAAGAGUGUAAUUAUCUUGCUAAUAUCCCUAUAGAAAAUAUUACAAAAUAGUUGUAAAAAGAGGCAAUCAAAGAGUAUGCUGGAAAAAAAUGCAGGAAAAGACGUAUUACAGAGUUGUAUUAAGCAGUGAAUUCAUAACAAUAUUCUGAUAGUUUUCUAGAUUUUGUGCUGCUUAUCCACUUUUCAUUUGUAAUUUUAUUAUAAUUUAUUUUCCUAUUCUAAAUAAACAUUUGUUUUAAUCUAAU